Molecule: ribosomal RNA, 426 nt
Filed under: Triticum aestivum (bread wheat)
Lineage: Eukaryota; Viridiplantae; Streptophyta; Magnoliopsida; Poales; Poaceae
Description: partial small subunit ribosomal RNA
Source: RNAcentral
AUGCUUGCUUUGAAGUUCUUCGGCCCCUUCUCAGUCCUCGCCAGAAUUGGCCCAUCAGCGUACAAGUUGGAGCUCCCUGUGGACAGCAAGAUUCGCCCAGUGUUUCACGCCUCACAUUUGAAACCGUUCACAGCCAACUACAGUCCAGUAUUUUCUGAACUUCCAGCUACCACCGACCUGUCGACACAAGAGACUGCUCCAGUGGCAAUAGUGGACAGAAGAAUGAUGAAAAAGGGCAAUGCACCAGUGAUCCAACUGCAAGUUUCUUGGGAUACAACUCCGCAAUCCGUCACAUGGGAAGACUAUGACGUGCUCCGUCGGUGCUAUCCACAAGCUUGCAUUUGGGAAGAGGAAUCAAUGGAAGCAGGAGACUAUUCUCAAGGAGGGGAGAAUGUCAACACGGCAGUGCCAGCCACCACCGUGUGA